This 1081-nucleotide ribosomal RNA is filed under the name wastewater metagenome. RNAcentral describes it as "bacterial LSU rRNA". It matches the Rfam family "Bacterial large subunit ribosomal RNA", at positions 1843 to 2925 of the family's 2925-position model. The record is from RNAcentral.
GUAUAUGGGCUGACGCCUGCCCGGUGCUGGAAGGUUAAGAGGAGAGGUUAGCGCAAGCGAAGCUUUGAAUUCAAGCCCCAGUAAACGGCGGCCGUAACUAUAACGGUCCUAAGGUAGCGAAAUUCCUUGUCGGGUAAGUUCCGACCCGCACGAAAGGCGUAAUGAUUUGAGCACUGUCUCGACAAUGCAUCCGGUGAAAUUGAAGUACCAGUGAAGAUGCUGGUUACCCGCGCCAGGACGGAAAGACCCCAUGGAGCUUUACUCUAGCUUGAUACUGGGACUCGGUAAUACAUGCACAGGAUAGGUGGGAGGCUGUGAAAUCACAAUUCCGGUUGUGAUGGAGCCAAUGUUGGGAUACCACCCUUGUGUUACUGGGUUUCUAACAUUCAGCCGUGAUCCGGCUGGUGGACAAUGUCAGGUGGGGAGUUUGACUGGGGCGGUCGCCUCCGAAAGAGUAUCGGAGGCGCUCAAAGGUUCCCUCAGGAUGGUUGGAAACCAUUCAAAGAGUGCAAAGGCAGAAGGGAGCUUGACUGCGAGACUGACAAGUCGAGCAGAUACGAAAGUAGGGCUUAGUGAUCCGGCGGUAGAGAAUGGAAUUGCCGUCGCUUAACGGAUAAAAGUUACCUCGGGGAUAACAGGCUGAUCUCCCCCAAGAGUUCACAUCGACGGGGAGGUUUGGCACCUCGAUGUCGGCUCGUCGCAUCCUGGGGCUGUAGUAGGUCCCAAGGGUUGGGCUGUUCGCCCAUUAAAGUGGCACGCGAGCUGGGUUCAGAACGUCGUGAGACAGUUCGGUCCCUAUCCGAUGUGGGCGUAGGAAAAUUGAAGAGAGCUAUCCUUAGUACGAGAGGACCGGGAUGGACAAACCUCUGGUGUAUCUGUUGUAGCGCCAGCUGCAGCGCAGAGUAGCUAUGUUUGGAAUGGAUAACCGCUGAAAGCAUCUAAGCGGGAAGCCAACUUUGAGAUGAGUUUUCCCAUACGUAUGUAGUAAGAUCCCAAAAAGACGAUUUGGUUGAUAGGCUGGAGAUGGAAGCAUGGUGACAUGUUGAGUUGACCAGUACUAAUAGAUCGAGGAUUUAAUCAU